AACACUGUUAACCUGCGGUACCUGCGGAAGGAUCAUUACCGAGUUUACAACUCCCAAACCCCUGUGAACAUACCUAUACGUUGCCUCGGCGGAUCAGCCCGCGCCCUGUAAAAAGGGACGGCCCGCCCGAGGACCCUAAACUCUGUUUUUAGUGGAACUUCUGAGUAAAACAAACAAAUAAAUCAAAACUUUUAGCAAUGGAUCU
RNAcentral lists this unclassified non-coding RNA (205 nucleotides) under soil metagenome. RNAcentral's name for it is "partial contains 5.8S ribosomal RNA, internal transcribed spacer 2, and large subunit ribosomal RNA". The record is from RNAcentral.